GCAGUCAUAAUUUCCUAGAUGUUUUCUCUGGAUAUUGCGACUUCACCCAAGCCCUGUCUACCCAAGCACUGCGGAAGCAUCAGGGACUUGAGAAACUUCUCUCGCUGUGGCUCCCAAGCCAGCUUUGUUAUUUUAAAAUAACGACGGGGACCCUAUUCUCCGUGAGAACUUCAGCGCCUGGGACCAGUGCAGCAUUUCCCAGCCGAAGCAAUGGUGCCAUUACCACGUCAGGGAGAGACAAGGGACUUAAAAGUGAUGAUGUGAAGUGCCAUAAAACGAGGCAGGGAAAAACUGCCCCGGGCACAGAAGGACAGGAGUUCGUCCGCCUGUCAGGUCACCAGGUGUGAAACCGGUCCGUCCCCGCCGCUUCAGGAAGACUCCUUCCUCCCCGGUCGCCCCCUUCCCCAAGGAGCACAUCUGGCGUCCCCUCCUCCCUCCGUCAAAGGCGCGGGACUGGGAAGAGAAGGCCAGCCCCGGUCGAACCACGCAAGCCGGGGCCCCGCGCCCGAGCCAAGGACACCGACGGCUUCCGAGCCAGGCCAGCUGGAGACCGAGCGGAAAGCCAGGCAGGAGGCCCAGCCCCAGUCGCCUCUCAGGUGGGCGUGUCGGCUCAGGGACAGGGACUCCGGAGGGACCCGCCACGCCCCAGACGCCGCCGGGAGCCAAGCGCCGAGGGAGGGGCAGCGGAGAACCGGGGCCUGGCGCCGGGGGCAAUGAGUACCUGGCUGCCGAACUGAGGACAACUGCGGGCACUCACAGAGCCGGACGAGACCGCUUCCAUCAAUGGCGCCGGCUUGGCGGGGCCGGCCACCAGGCAAGCCAGUGCGCCUGCGCAGUCGGGCUGCCGAACUACAGCGCCCGGAAUCCUCAGCGCGGAGCGUUUUUGGUUUUGGUUUUUUGUGGGGUUUUUUGGCCCCCCAUUUUUCUUCUUUUUCUUCUUCUACUUUUUUUGUCUGGCUUAAGAGGAAAUUGGAUGUGUUUAUCGACAGUUUGGGUGACUUAAAAAAAUCUAUUCAAAUUGAACAAACUUGUAUUGAGAGGCUAUAACUAUGUGUCAAGCAUUAGCACGAAAGAGGCAAAAGAUGACACCACCUCUUGUCAAUUAUAGAAGAUAAAGGCCUUUUGCAAAUUAGCUGAAACUUCGGAUGCCAGUAGAGUUGAUCCAAGAAGCUCAGUGAAAUUCAGAGAAAACACAUGAAGAAAAUCACACCAAGGCACAGCAUAAUCAAAUUGCUACAAACCAGUAAUAAAGGAAAAUCUUAGAAAAACAAAAGUCAUAAACUGGAGAAUACAAAAAGACUUUUAAAGAUCCCUUGUAUGUAUUUGAUAUGCAUUCUCUGCAGAUGAAGUCUGACCACUGAAGAAAUCCAAAGGGGUUUCUCUCCAGUGUGGAUUCUCUGACAUAUGGCAAAAUCUGGGAAACUCCUGAAUACCUUCCCACAUUCAUUGCAUUUACGUGGCCUUUCUUCAGAAUGGAUCCUCAUGUACAGUAAGGUAUAAGUUAUUGCUGAAAGCUUUCCCACAAUUGCCACAUCUGUAGGGCUUCUUUACAGUGUGAUUUUCUUGAUGUCUGGUGAGUUUUGAUGUUGGAGGCUUUACUGGAGGCUUUACCCCAUUCAUGACAUACAUAAAGUUUCUUCCAGUAUGAAUUCUCAGUAGUUGGGUAAAGGGUGCACAUUUCCCAAAGGCUUUUCCACAGACAGUGUGCUCAUAAGGUUUGACUUCAGCAUAAAUUUGCUGAUAAGCGAUUAAAGUUGAAGAAACGGGGGCAUCUGGGUGGCUCAGUCAGUUAAGUGUCUGCCUUUGGCUCAGGUCAUAGUCUCAGGGUCCUGGGAUCGAGCCCUACAUUGGGCUCUCUGCUCAGCGGGGAGCCUGCUCCCCACCCCUGCCUGCUUCUCUGCCUACGUGUGAUCUCUCUCUCUCUCUCUGUCAAAUAAAUAAAUGAAAUCCUUUAAAAGUUGAAGAAACAAUGAAGGCUUUCCCACAUUGAUUACAUUUAUAGGGUUUUCUUCACUGUGAAUUUUCUGUUGAUUUUCUUCUGUUGAUAUGAAGGUCUGCAGGUUGACUCAAAACUUUCCCACAUUUAUCACAUUUAGAUUCAUACAGUUUCUCUCUAGUAUGAAUUCUGUGGCAUUGAAUAAGGGAUGACCUAAAACUAAAAGCUUUUCCACAUGUAUUACAUUUAUAAGAUUUCUCUUUACCAUUACUUAUCUCUUCUAUUUUAAGUCGGGAGGCCUGGCUCACAUCUCUGUUGCCUUUAGUAGUUUUGAAAAUUGUCUUACCCAGGUUAGUUCCUGAUGGAAUAAUUAGCUCAGAGUUUUCUUGACAACUUUGUCCAUAUAGAUCACUUAGGUAUCACUAUCUUCUAUAAGAAUUCUCUGUUCUUUAAAGUUUGGUUUUUUUUUUUAAUUUAUUUAUUUGACAGACAGGGAUCACAAGUAGUCAGAGAAGCAGGCAGAGAGAGAGAGGAGGAAGCAGGCUCUUGGCUGAGCAGAGAACCCGAAGUGGGGCUUGAUCCCAGGCCCCUGGGAUCAUGACCUAAGCUGAAAGCAGAGGCUUUAACCCACUGAGCCACCCUGGUGCCCCCAGAAUUCUCUGUUCUUUAAAGAGAAUAGACUUCAACAAG
Molecule: long non-coding RNA, 2626 nt
Organism: Mustela lutreola (European mink)
Lineage: Eukaryota; Metazoa; Chordata; Mammalia; Carnivora; Mustelidae
Exons: 4
Source: RefSeq, a predicted model, not a curated record